UUGAACGCUGGCGGCAUGCUUUACACAUGCAAGUCGAACGGUAACAGGCCUUCGGGUGCUGACGAGUGGCGAACGGGUGAGUAAUGCAUCGGAACGUACCCAGAGGUGGGGGAUAACGCAGCGAAAGCUGUGCUAAUACCGCAUGUGAUCUGAGGAUGAAAGCGGGGGACCGAGCAGCAAUGUUUGGCCUCGCGCCUUUGGAGCGGCCGAUGUCGGAUUAGCUAGUUGGUGGGGUAAAGGCCUACCAAGGCGACGAUCCGUAGCUGGUCUGAGAGGACGACCAGCCACACUGGGACUGAGACACGGCCCAGACUCCUACGGGAGGCAGCAAUGGGGAAUUUUGGACAAUGGGCGCAAGCCUGAUCCAGCAAUGCCGCGUGCGGGAAGAAGGCCUUCGGGUUGUAAACCGCUUUUGGCAGGAACGAAACGGUGUCCGCUAAUACCGGGCGCUAAUGACGGUACCUGCAGAAUAAGCACCGGCUAACUACGUG
Molecule: ribosomal RNA, 491 nt
Filed under: uncultured bacterium
Lineage: Bacteria
Description: partial 16S ribosomal RNA
Rfam family: Bacterial small subunit ribosomal RNA
Source: RNAcentral